RNAcentral lists this transfer RNA (72 nucleotides) under Pristionchus pacificus. Its description in RNAcentral is "tRNA-Thr (CGT) (tRNA-Thr-CGT-3-1)". It matches the Rfam family "tRNA". Rfam says of the family: Transfer RNA (tRNA) molecules are approximately 80 nucleotides in length. Their secondary structure includes four short double-helical elements and three loops (D, anti-codon, and T loops). The record is from Rfam by way of RNAcentral. Lineage: Eukaryota; Metazoa; Nematoda; Chromadorea; Rhabditida; Neodiplogasteridae.
GCCAGCUUGGCUUAGUGGCAGAGCGUCGCUCUCGUAAAGCGAAGGUCGCAGGUUCGAUUCCUGCAGUUGGCA